This 2839-nucleotide ribosomal RNA is filed under the name Escherichia coli. RNAcentral's name for it is "partial 23S ribosomal RNA". It matches the Rfam family "Bacterial large subunit ribosomal RNA". Lineage: Bacteria; Pseudomonadati; Pseudomonadota; Gammaproteobacteria; Enterobacterales; Enterobacteriaceae. The record is from RNAcentral.
GGUUAAGCGACUAAGCGUACACGGUGGAUGCCCUGGCAGUCAGAGGCGAUGAAGGACGUGCUAAUCUGCGAUAAGCGUCGGUAAGGUGAUAUGAACCGUUAUAACCGGCGAUUUCCGAAUGGGGAAACCCAGUGUGAUUCGUCACACUAUCAUUAACUGAAUCCAUAGGUUAAUGAGGCGAACCGGGGGAACUGAAACAUCUAAGUACCCCGAGGAAAAGAAAUCAACCGAGAUUCCCCCAGUAGCGGCGAGCGAACGGGGAGCAGCCCAGAGCCUGAAUCAGUGUGUGUGUUAGUGGAAGCGUCUGGAAAGGCGCGCGAUACAGGGUGACAGCCCCGUACACAAAAAUGCACAUACUGUGAGCUCGAUGAGUAGGGCGGGACACGUGGUAUCCUGUCUGAAUAUGGGGGGACCAUCCUCCAAGGCUAAAUACUCCUGACUGACCGAUAGUGAACCAGUACCGUGAGGGAAAGGCGAAAAGAACCCCGGCGAGGGGAGUGAAAAAGAACCUGAAACCGUGUACGUACAAGCAGUGGGAGCACAGAGCAAUCUGUGUGACUGCGUACCUUUUGUAUAAUGGGUCAGCGACUUAUAUUCUGUAGCAAGGUUAACCGAAUAGGGGAGCCGAAGGGAAACCGAGUCUUAACUGGGCGUUAAGUUGCAGGGUAUAGACCCGAAACCCGGUGAUCUAGCCAUGGGCAGGUUGAAGGUUGGGUAACACUAACUGGAGGACCGAACCGACUAAUGUUGAAAAAUUAGCGGAUGACUUGUGGCUGGGGGUGAAAGGCCAAUCAAACCGGGAGAUAGCUGGUUCUCCCCGAAAGCUAUUUAGGUAGCGCCUCGUGAAUUCAUCUCCGGGGGUAGAGCACUGUUUCGGCAAGGGGGUCAUCCCGACUUACCAACCCGAUGCAAACUGCGAAUACCGGAGAAUGUUAUCACGGGAGACACACGGCGGGUGCUAACGUCCGUCGUGAAGAGGGAAACAACCCAGACCGCCAGCUAAGGUCCCAAAGUCAUGGUUAAGUGGGAAACGAUGUGGGAAGGCCCAGACAGCCAGGAUGUUGGCUUAGAAGCAGCCAUCAUUUAAAGAAAGCGUAAUAGCUCACUGGUCGAGUCGGCCUGCGCGGAAGAUGUAACGGGGCUAAACCAUGCACCGAAGCUGCGGCAGCGACGCUUNNNNNNNNNNNNNNNNNNNNNNNNNNNNNNNNNNNNNNNNNNNNNNNNNNNNNNNNNNNNNNNNNNNNNNNNNNNNNNNNNNNNNNNNNNNNNNCCGGCAUGCUGGAGGUAUCAGAAGUGCGAAUGCUGACAUAAGUAACGAUAAAGCGGGUGAAAAGCCCGCUCGCCGGAAGACCAAGGGUUCCUGUCCAACGUUAAUCGGGGCAGGGUGAGUCGACCCCUAAGGCGAGGCCGAAAGGCGUAGUCGAUGGGAAACAGGUUAAUAUUCCUGUACUUGGUGUUACUGCGAAGGGGGGACGGAGAAGGCUAUGUUGGCCGGGCGACGGUUGUCCCGGUUUAAGCGUGUAGGCUGGUUUUCCAGGCAAAUCCGGAAAAUCAAGGCUGAGGCGUGAUGACGAGGCACUACGGUGCUGAAGCAACAAAUGCCCUGCUUCCAGGAAAAGCCUCUAAGCAUCAGGUAACAUCAAAUCGUACCCCAAACCGACACAGGUGGUCAGGUAGAGAAUACCAAGGCGCUUGAGAGAACUCGGGUGAAGGAACUAGGCAAAAUGGUGCCGUAACUUCGGGAGAAGGCACGCUGAUAUGUAGGUGAAGUCCCUCGCGGAUGGAGCUGAAAUCAGUCGAAGAUACCAGCUGGCUGCAACUGUUUAUUAAAAACACAGCACUGUGCAAACACGAAAGUGGACGUAUACGGUGUGACGCCUGCCCGGUGCCGGAAGGUUAAUUGAUGGGGUUAGCGCAAGCGAAGCUCUUGAUCGAAGCCCCGGUAAACGGCGGCCGUAACUAUAACGGUCCUAAGGUAGCGAAAUUCCUUGUCGGGUAAGUUCCGACCUGCACGAAUGGCGUAAUGAUGGCCAGGCUGUCUCCACCCGAGACUCAGUGAAAUUGAACUCGCUGUGAAGAUGCAGUGUACCCGCGGCAAGACGGAAAGACCCCGUGAACCUUUACUAUAGCUUGACACUGAACAUUGAGCCUUGAUGUGUAGGAUAGGUGGGAGGCUUUGAAGUGUGGACGCCAGUCUGCAUGGAGCCGACCUUGAAAUACCACCCUUUAAUGUUUGAUGUUCUAACGUUGACCCGUAAUCCGGGUUGCGGACAGUGUCUGGUGGGUAGUUUGACUGGGGCGGUCUCCUCCUAAAGAGUAACGGAGGAGCACGAAGGUUGGCUAAUCCUGGUCGGACAUCAGGAGGUUAGUGCAAUGGCAUAAGCCAGCUUGACUGCGAGCGUGACGGCGCGAGCAGGUGCGAAAGCAGGUCAUAGUGAUCCGGUGGUUCUGAAUGGAAGGGCCAUCGCUCAACGGAUAAAAGGUACUCCGGGGAUAACAGGCUGAUACCGCCCAAGAGUUCAUAUCGACGGCGGUGUUUGGCACCUCGAUGUCGGCUCAUCACAUCCUGGGGCUGAAGUAGGUCCCAAGGGUAUGGCUGUUCGCCAUUUAAAGUGGUACGCGAGCUGGGUUUAGAACGUCGUGAGACAGUUCGGUCCCUAUCUGCCGUGGGCGCUGGAGAACUGAGGGGGGCUGCUCCUAGUACGAGAGGACCGGAGUGGACGCAUCACUGGUGUUCGGGUUGUCAUGCCAAUGGCACUGCCCGGUAGCUAAAUGCGGAAGAGAUAAGUGCUGAAAGCAUCUAAGCACGAAACUUGCCCCGAGAUGAGUUCUCCCUGAC